GACGAACGCUGGCGGCGUGCCUAAUACAUGCGAGUUGAGCGCUGAAGGUUGGUACUUGUACCAACUGGAUGAGCAGCGAACGGGUGAGUAACGCGUGGGGAAUCUGCCUUUGAGCGGGGGACAACAUUUGGAAACGAACGCUAAUACCGCAUAAAAACUUUAAACACAAGUUUUAAGUUUGAAAGAUGCAAUUGCAUCACUCAAAGAUGAUCCCGCGUUGUAUUAGCUAGUUGGUGAGGUAAAGGCUCACCAAGGCGAUGAUACAUAGCCGACCUGAGAGGGUGAUCGGCCACAUUGGGACUGAGACACGGCCCAAACUCCUACGGGAGGCAGCAGUAGGGAAUCUUCGGCAAUGGACGAAAGUCUGACCGAGCAACGCCGCGUGAGUGAAGAAGGUUUUCGGAUCGUAAAACUCUGUUGGUAGAGAAGAACGUUGGUGAGAGUGGAAAGCUCAUCAAGUGACGGUAACUACCCAGAAAGGGACGGCUAACUACGUG
This 497-nucleotide ribosomal RNA is filed under the name uncultured bacterium. Its description in RNAcentral is "partial 16S ribosomal RNA". It matches the Rfam family "Bacterial small subunit ribosomal RNA", at positions 28 to 507 of the family's 1533-position model. The record is from RNAcentral.